This 253-nucleotide ribosomal RNA is filed under the name uncultured bacterium. RNAcentral's name for it is "partial 16S ribosomal RNA". It matches the Rfam family "Bacterial small subunit ribosomal RNA", at positions 524 to 776 of the family's 1533-position model. The record is from RNAcentral.
UACGAAGGGGGCUAGCGUUGCUCGGAAUCACUGGGCGUAAAGCGCACGUAGGCGGAUUGUUAAGUCAGGGGUGAAAUCCCGGAGCUCAACUUCGGAACUGCCUUUGAUACUGGCAAUCUAGAGUCCGGAAGAGGUUAGUGGAAUUCCCAGUGUAGAGGUGAAAUUCGUAGAUAUUGGGAAGAACACCAGUGGCGAAGGCGGCUAACUGGUCCGGUACUGACGCUGAGGUGCGAAAGCGUGGGGAGCAAACAGG